GGUGGUGGAUACCCCAUCCCUGGAGACAUCCCAGGCCAGGCUGGACGGGGCUCUGAGCAACCUGAGCUGGUGAAGAUGUCCCUGCUUACGGCAGGGGUGGCACAGGAUGGGCUUUGAAGGUUCCUUCCAACCCAAGCUGUUCCAUGACCCAAUAACAUAUAUAAGAAGGACAGACAACAAGGAACCAGAGCAUCUUCUCCAGCCUCACUGAGUGUCAAUGGUGACCAUUCUUGUGGCGUCCAUCGACAGAGACCUGACAGGACCAGUACUGGCCGAAGGUCCUGGGAAAAGAUGGGGAUGUUCUCUGCUUGUUCCUCCACUGUAAUGAAACACAAGAAGAGGCUUUUCUGCUGAAGAAUAAGAAAUCUGCACUAAAUGAAGAGAGGAUGGAAGUAUCUCAGCUGGACCAUGACCCCACGCUAUGCAAUGGGUGUGCUUACAGGCAGCUGGCGGUCGGGGAGUGACUUUGAAGGGAGCGGAGACCUGCACAGCCUCACCUGCUGUCACAGCCAGUGAGCCUCCUGUUCCCAAGGGUAGACCUGAUGUCCCAGGAGGAGGGAGCAGGAAAAGCCCAACUCCAGCUGAACAUCUCAGCGACCAUCGGACUUUCUGCUAUGAUGGAGAAGGGACUUGAUCCAACAACAGUAUUGCUGCUGCUGAUCAGGAAGAAUAAAUGGGAAAGUCUGUCUUCUCUUGUAAAGCUCGAAGGUCAAUAGGAGGGGGAAGAGCAGAAUCCCCCCCGGACCGCCUCCAUCUCAGGGAAGCGACUGAUGAGCCUGCCAGCCUCUGAACAAAUAUUUCUGAUGCAGAGAACUCACUUGUCAACUUGGAGGAGCCCCGAGAGGAAAUUUCCAAAGCAGAUCUGUCAGAGAUAAUGACACCACACAAGAAAGCCCUCCUUAGGAGGAACGUCUUCAGAAAAUGUCAUGUGUUUGAAAAUACGAUGCUUCCGUGUGUUCCUGUUGAUGAGUUAAAAUUCAGGCAACUGUGGCUGAAUUUUUAAUCUGUGAACUGUAACAGAUGAAGCACAAGGAGGCAGUGAUUCAUUUUUUCACCUUCCCUGAUGCUUUCUUGUUCAAACUGAUAUUUCUUACCGGAUCAGAAACCUCUUUUUAGGCCCGAGAUAACUCUGUGUGUUCCGCCUUGUCCAGAUUGCAAACCAGGGAAUUUUUGUGCAUCUGGAUGUUUGUGUAAUUGCCUAACACAGUGAAGCCCCAUCUCAGCUGAAAUCUCUUAGCUCCACUGUUAGAUAAAAAGCAAUUAACAGUAACAAUAACCAGAAACACAUUUAGUGUGAGGACAGGCAGCAAAUGGCAAACAGAUACAUCAACAAAUCUGUUUUUGCCUUGUAAUUUGCUGUUUGCAGUCAGUGGGUCAUUAAUUUUUAUAUGGGUAUCAUGUACUUAUAAGCAGUUUGGGAAUCUUGAAAUUAUUACCAAUGACAGUGGCUUUGAUUACAUUGGCUGCUCUGUGUCAUCUGUGAUCCUUCAGUUUAAGAGUCACCCAAAAAGAUACAGCAGCCAGAAUCGCACCCCAGGGCAGUCCCGGGUACCCCAAGGAACGCAGGCUGCGCCCUGAUUACUCCUCACACUCGUUGAGUCUCUCAAAUAAUGUUUCCUCAAAUUGGGAAUGGGUUUUGAAAGCCAUUUCCCCUCUGAAAUCUCAUCAGCAUGCGCGCUUCGCAGGUGUUGUUCAGCUAGCUCCUCUAAGCAACGGUAUUUUAUCCUGUCAAAUAUGAAAUUGGCUCAGGUCACAAAUUUUGUGCUGAGCUAGCCCAUCUUUGUGGUUUUCGCUAAUUAAAUCUAGGACAGGUAACCAAUAGAUUCUUCAGCUGAACAAGAGUAAUUAUUUUAACCUCUCUUUUCCAGAUGUUUUCUGAUCGUUUUACAUUUUCUGAUUCGUUAGCUUGAGUUUCAGUUCUCUGGGUAAAGAAAAUGUUGGACAACUUAUAUUUUACUUGGCAAAUUGAUUGUUUUAGAUAAAACAAGGUUUACUUUCGGUGUGAAGUCACAGAGGUGCUUGUAGCGUAUCUAUGUGCAAAAUGUGAAUAAUGUUAGCUGGAUUGUUUUUCAAGCUGAAUAACUGCAGUGUUUCAAAAAAGCAAACACAGCCGUGUCAACAACGUGAUUGCCUGUUACCACACUCUGCACUGGAGCACUGCUUUUGUUAUUCAGUUAUUUUCGUUUGGCAUUAGCCUGUGUCUGCAGUUAACCUAUCAGCAAUUACCUGUUUAGUUUUAUUACGUUCUGUUCCCUUCUGUACUCAUUCAGGACUUCAUUUGCUUCCAUCUUGAAGAUAGCUUUAAAUGUUAAGUUUGUUUUUUCCUACCAAACAGAGAAUAGACACCUCUAUUUCAGGUAAGCGUUUUGUGAUGUCUCCCUGGUGUAAGAAGAUGAUUCUGUGCUUGUUGUACCUCAGGUGGGGAAGGCUGCUAAAUGCAAAUCAAACCAGACCUUUUGUGCCUCAUUUAGAGGGGUUUUGCUGGGAUAUUUGUGUAUUUAAUACAAGCUGGGUGUCCUUGUGGAGCAAUCAAUAGCGGCAGGCUGUGCGAAGGGAUUUCGCUGGAGCAGUUCAGCCUGGAAACCUGUGAUGCUGGCACCAACCUUGCCGGUGCUGCCAGGGCCACCUCAUAUGUGUGGGACGUAGAAUCGCAGAGUAGUUCGGGUUGGAAGGGUUGGACCUUCCCAGCUCCCCCAGUGCCACCCCUGCCAUGAGCAGGGACAUCUUCACCAGCUCAGGUUGCUCAGAGCCCCGUCCAGCCUGGCCUGGGAUGUCUCCGGGGAUGGUUCAUCCACCACCUCUCUGGGCAACCUGGGCCAGUGUUUCACCACCUUCAGUGUAAAAAAUUUCUUCCUCCUCUCUAACCUGAAUCUCCCUUGAAUGGUGUGACCUUUGUGAACACUGUCCCCAGCACAGUCCUGCAAGUGGGUGUGCAGAUCCCAGCAAAGAUGUGAGAGGGAUCCGUGCUGGUGGCAAGGGGCUGUCUCUGCUGGUGAAGCUGUGGUCCAAUAAUUCAUCUAAUUAGAGUUUACACACGUCGGAGGGAAAGAAAAGCAGGUGUUUCUAUAUUUUUUCUUUUUUUCCCCCCUUUCUUAUAAAGGGUAAGUGUCUCCUGUGUAAGUUUCCUGACAGCUGAAUUGCGAGCAGACUGCCUGUCUUAUCUCCAUUUGCCCCCUUCUGUGCAAACGCUCCAGUCACUUCCCUGCAAAUUUAAUGUUUUUUCAACUACUGACGUGUUCAUCUUCCCCACUCUGCAAUUAUGUACUGAUGUGAUGAUGUUUUAAGAAAAAUGUUUUGUUUUAAAAGCUGCAACAUCCAAAUUAAAAAAAAAAAGUCGGCUCCCUCCCCAAAUUCUCUCUGAUGCUAAUUAUAGAAAUCUCAGCUCUCCAGCAGAUGCGUCAGUCAACAGAGGGUUUGGCUCUUCUUAGAGGCUGAAGCUUUGGAAAAAUAUACUGAAGAUGGUGCAUACAACUGGGAGAUGUGGCAGGUACGUGCUGGAGGUGAACACUGAGAGUUCGGAAAUGCGAACAGUUUUCAAGGUCUCCGAUUUUAAAUCAUCUAACAGUAAGCUGUCAAGACGUGAUGUUUUCAUAGAGCUGGCACCAGAUGUUAUUUUUCUUUUUCCACCUAAAUUGAGAGAAGCAUAACGAAUAUUCUGGGUUUGCUCUGAAACCAUUACAGGACAAGUUCCUGGACUGUACAUCAGGGUUGCUCCUGCAAUACAAGUGCAGAUCUUCUGUCAAAGUUUCAGCCUGAUGAUGUUUCUGGCCGUUAGGAUGAAACCCCAGACUCUGUACCCAUCACAAGAGAGGGUUAGAAUACGGUUGCAAAUUCAUUCCAGUGCUGAUUUUUAUUAGGGAAUCUUAUUAACAUAAUGCAUUCUCUUCCUGAACAAGAAAGCUAGAGGCAUUUCUUUUUCUUCUAAUGCAUUUUAGAGGUGAUCUGACAUUUUCUAAUGGCUCUCAGGUAUGUAUAAUUCAGCCUGUUCCAUGUCUGCAUUUUCCAAAAUAAGAAUGAAAAAUUGAGUUCCUGCUUUUUUUGGACAAUCAUUACUCUCUGUU
Molecule: long non-coding RNA, 4061 nt
Organism: Columba livia (rock pigeon)
Lineage: Eukaryota; Metazoa; Chordata; Aves; Columbiformes; Columbidae
Exons: 6
Source: RefSeq, a predicted model, not a curated record